GUCCUAGCCCUAAACGGUGCUUGCUUGCUGUAAGAGGAAUCGACCCCUCUUGUGGCGGAGCUAACGCGUUAAGCAAGCCGCCUGGGAAGUACGGUCGCAAGAUUAAAACUCAAAGAAAUUGACGGGGCCUGCACAAGCGGUGGAGUAUGUGGCUUAAUUCGAUGCAACGCGAAGAACCUUACCUGGCCUUGACAUGCAUCUAGUAGAAGGGUGAAAGCCUAACGAGGUAGCAAUACCAGGAUGCACAGGUGCUGCAUGGCUGUCGU
RNAcentral lists this ribosomal RNA (266 nucleotides) under uncultured bacterium. RNAcentral describes it as "partial 16S ribosomal RNA". It matches the Rfam family "Bacterial small subunit ribosomal RNA", at positions 793 to 1055 of the family's 1533-position model. The record is from RNAcentral.